This 556-nucleotide long non-coding RNA is filed under the name Anser brachyrhynchus (Pink-footed goose). RNAcentral's name for it is "lncRNA (ENSABRG00000014387.1)". The record is from RNAcentral. Lineage: Eukaryota; Metazoa; Chordata; Aves; Anseriformes; Anatidae.
CUAGCUCUUCAAAGCUGACCUCAUAAUGGAGGUUAAAGAAAAGAAGAAACGAUUUCUGUUUUCUCCAUGAAAAAGUGUCUCUAUGGGACGAGAGCUGCACAUUGCUGGGACAUGAAGGAGCAUGUUGCAGAAUGAAACCAGGCUGUUGCACGAAGGAGCCAGCAAUGGUGAUGGAAUUGCUGAGUGUCUGGAAGGAAUAGAUCAUCAGAUAUCAGAAAACACAAUGCAGACUGUCAAGAUUUAGAAAUGACUAUGCACUGUCUCAUAAUUCACAGUGGGUAUGCCUGUACUGAUGGGAGUCAUGGAGUUGCUGGGUUUAAAAGGAAAGUUUGCUGACAGCUACCAUCAAGUUGUGCAUGUGCAGUGGUGGAGAGUUUGUGGAAGCCUGUCACAUCAGGACCUGCAAAGCUAUGGCUGUAUUUCAAUGUUGGAGCCAACACCCAAAAGGUCACCAGGAACUAUGUGUGCAUGCUGCAAUGAUCAUUAACACCUUCUGUUGUGCAUGAAACAAAGCCAAGAGGAAAGCAAGGCAGCCUAUGGAGGACUUUUAUGAUGA